GACCUCCUAAGCCUAAACCUGGAUCCUCGUUAGGGUUCCUGGCAUUUACAGCUGAAGGGAGAGAAGGGAGUGACUCAGCUCCUUUGUUUCUAACUGUACUAAUUUCAAGACAGUGCAGCGAGGCAAGGAAGGAAAGGAAAUGGCUUUUUCUUUUUUUUUUGUUUUGGUACUGGAGAUUGAACUCACGACCUUGCACUUGCCAGGCAGGCACUUAUGCUGCUGAGCUAAACUCCCAGCCCAGAAAUGGCUUUUUCAACAAAUGGUGCUGGGAAAAGUGGAGAACUUAGUGCCAAAGGCUGAAGCUAGGUCUCUGUCUCAUGUCCUACAGACAAUGAAUUUCAGAAGCACACAGGCCCCAAACUCAGACCCCAGAGGCCUAAAGAACAACAUUGUCGUCUGAUCGCAUAUUUCAGUGUAAGAGCACCUGCCUACCAUACAAGAGUCCUGGCAUGGGAGUGCCGUCCCAUCCAAUGGAAAAUGGAAAACCAGAAGGAUCAUUUUCUGAUUGAAGAAGUCUGCUUGUCCAGGCAGGGUGGCACACACCUACAAUGAUAACCACCCAGGAGGUUGAGAUAAGAGCAUGGAAUCUGCGAGUCCAUCCAGGACAAUUUAGCAAGGCCCUGUGUCUAAAUAAAGUCAAACGUGCUGUGGAUUUAACCCAGUGCUACCUGUAUCAAGCUCAAAGCAUCACGGGAGUGCAGUGUUGGAAGAGUCUACUACGCUCAUAAGGAUGUCAAGCACAAUGUCAUGGAUCCUAUUUCAAUGGGUGGAAGAACAGAUGUGUAGAAAUGAAUUGAAGGGCACUACACUAAUAUUCAUGACACUGAUCACAAAGAGCAGUGUGAGUCAUGGACUGGGAGAAGAACCAAGAAGCCAACCCCCUCCUGUGAGCCAAUGACAGAAAGAAAGAAAGAAAGAAAGAAAGAAAGAAAGAAAGAAAGAAAGAACGAAAGGAAGAAAGGAAAGAAAAGAAAAGAAAGAAAAGACAUCUUUAUUAUGGGCACUGGAGGGCUGCCAACGAGAGGCAAAGAGAAGGCAGUUCCUAUGGAGCAUUAGGCUGCCCAGAGAGGCUCGGAAGAUUAAUCACAUGAUGGAGGCCUUCACUUUCGCUAUUGCCUGUGCAACCCAGGCGUCUUCCAGUCCACAGGUGAGCCAGCUCACAGUCUGACCUCAGCUCUGCUUCAGGACAAAGGCCUGCAGUACAGAGCACCCUAUUCCUGGGACCUUCUUUGCCUGCGCCAGCAGUCUUACCUGAGGUGCAGGGAGCCACUCUCAAAGGUUUCUGCUUUGCUCUUCCCUGUGGCCCUCAUACUCCAUGUCCAAACCUCAGUAGAGCUCAGGCUACCGAGCCCCCCGCUGUCCUCUGCCUUGUUGCAGACAUGUGCUAUGUGCUGUCAUUUGCCAUCAUCAUGCUGAACACCAGCCUGCACAACCACAACGUACGCGACAAGCCCACUGUGGAGAGGUUCAUCACCAUGAACCGUAGCAUCGGUGACCUCCCUGAGGGGCGGCUAAAGCUGAGUCUGUGAGACUGAGCUUCGGAGCCUCCUCAUGGUGGUGCUGUUCCUCUUCCUUCUUAACUGGACAUUUUGAAACUUCCAAGUGCUCUGCAGAUGGACAGUGAUGGUUCAUUCACUUUUUUUUUCUUUGCAGUACUGGGAAUCAAUUCAGGGGCAUUCUCCCACUCAGCCACCUCCCUAGCUGUUUUUAUGAUUAUUAUUUUUUAACCUUGAGACAGGGUCCCUUGGUUGGACUCCUGUCUCUGCCUCCCAGAGUUCAGUGAAUACAGGCCUGGGCCACCAGGCCCGGCUGGCUUAUUUACUGUAAGUGCAUCUCUUAAGUGUGUCUGGCUUACAAGUCCUGCUGCUCUUUAUGCUUAGUCUGUAUUGGAAAAGACAACAGAGAGAACAAUUACUUCAACUCUGGGAAUUUUUAAAAUUUGGUGCUAUUUUUCCCUUACAGAAUUUAUAAGAAAGUAUUAAGAAUGAACCCUUUAAGAUCCCAGACGAUGGUGGGAAUGAUCUGAUAUACAUGUUCUUUAAUUUUAUGGGGAAGGCUGGAUCCUGAAGCUGGGUGAGCCUGCUGUGUGUGCCCUGUCCACGGACCCCUAGCCCACCUGGCAGCUCCCUGGUCUCCCUCCCAUUCCUCAUAGCAGAGGCCCCUAAGCACAAGGCAGAAACAUAAAAAAGAGUGCAGUUGAACCAAAGCCCACUGUAAGCAGCCACAUAUCCCAGCACCAAUGGCUGCUUCCCUGAACAGUGGCCUCUCCAAGCAGGCUAUGGGUUCCAUGUCCAUGGCAGGGACUUCCCAACCCAUCCCAGAAAGCUGCUGAGUUGGCUUUCACCUAAAUGCAGGGCAGUUUUCUCUGCAAGAAGCAAGUGCAUUUACCUACAGAGAACCUGUGUGCCUUUCUCUUGGUUUGGCAUGGCUGUGAUUUAUGAUGAGUAGUUUAAAUGUGCCUUCUGGGGGACGGAGCAAAGAUGGUGGAUAGAUAACAGCUGGCUACAGAAGUUCCCUCAGAUAGUCAACUUAGAAUUCAGCAUAGUACAGUGUGGGAAGCCCGAACAGAGGGAGAUGAAUUCUCUCAUCCCAAGAAGAAACUAAAGUGAGAAGAACCAAUCAAACAUACAGUCCCGGUGCUAUUAUUGGAACAGCUAAAGGGUCAGUGCUCCUGCUGCUAUAGCAACUUGUGGAGCUGUCCGAGGUCCCACUGCUUCGACUCACUGGAGGCAGGCGCAGACACGCUGAGGUCGGGGGUCAGCCAGCUGAAUGGAGAGCUGAGCCUGCGAGGAGCCUGCAGCGACCUGUGGUGGGUGAUGGGAGUGGAGCCAUUCCACAGAAAGGGAGGCUUCGGUGGACAACAUUCUGGGAUCGGGCAGGACUGGCAAGUACAAGGGGCAACUGUGACUUCAGUCAGUUGUUCCCUUCCCGAACGGGAUUGGUGGAGUGCACAAGGCCUGGGUCACGUGACCUGGCUGAGACCCAAUAGGUUACCUGAAAUCAAUUCCCUAUGGCGGCGGUGCACACCAACCAUCCUAACACAGUGAAGCCUCAGAAGUUUGACUGACCCGGAGGUGAGUUGGCACAUAGUAAUACAGUGCAGGCCUCAGCAGCUUGACCGAUCCAGAGGGGAGAGGCCAGUUCAAGCUGCCCCUGUUUGCAACUCACUAGCAAACUGCAGUGGGAAGAGACACCUAGCCAGCGUGCUUCAGAAGAAUUGUAACCAACAAAGAACUAAACUGGGGCCUCCUGGAAGAAACAAAAAAGAUGGGAAGAGGAAGCAACAACAAAAAGUCCCUAGGUCCCAACCCUGAGAACAUUGACCCAGGACAGGUAAAUACAAAGGAGAAUGAGAACAGUAAACAAGCAAUAUCAGACACCAGUGGACAUAAAGAGAUAUCUUUGGGAUCUCAUAGACAAGUUCAAAAGUGAAAUAGUUAGCCAAGUAAAGCAAGAUAUAAUAAGAUUAAUAAAACAGAUGCUAAGCACCCCUCAAGCAGACACAGACAAAAGAAGGGAGGAACUCAAAGGAGAGAACCAUUUGAUGAAGAAUAUAAAAAAAUAUAGAAUACAUGAGGCAGAUUCAAAGAGAUCACCAGGAAAUUAAAAACUCUAUGGAAAGAUGGCAAAUCAGCUUGAAAGAAACUAAGGAUAGAUUAUCCAAACUGGAGGACAGUUUUGCAAUGUGGGAUUAUGAAAGGGAAAACUUUUUAAAAAUAACAAGGAAACAAGCAGUAAUAAUACAAAGGCUAGAAGAUGACAAGAGGAUCUACAACAUGAGAAUAAAGAAUGUGAAUGAAGAAGCAGGGGUACAAACAAAGGAACUACAAAGGCUAUUCACAGAAAUAACUAAGGAAAACUUCCCAAACAUAGGAAAAGGAAAUGAUAUUCUGAUGUAUGAGGCAUACAGAACUCCAGCCACCUACAACCAAAACAGAGCUACAGCCAGGCAUAUAAUAAUCAAGAUCCCAGAAAUUCAAUAUAAGAACAGAAUAUUAAAAGCUGUUUGAGACAAGAAACAGAUAACCAAAAAGGAAGGCCCAUCAGAAUAACAGUAGACUUCUCGACACAAAUCAUCAAGUCAAGAAGAGCCUGGAGCGAAAUAUUCCAAGCCCUGAAAGAAAAUAACCUCCAACCCAGAUUAAUAUACUUGGAUAAACUGUCUCUAGAAAUUAAUGGAGAAACAAGAUGCUUCCAAAACAAAGAGGAACUUGGGAAAUUCACAACCACCAAUCCAACUCUACAGAAAAUACUGCAGGGCAUUCUAGAGAGAGAGAGAAAAGUACUAGGAUUCCAGGAAAAGUGGCAGAGAAGCCAUAAUGAAUGGAACAGAAAACAGAAUGAAGAAGAAAAGCAGACAACUGAUGGCAAAAAAAGAGCAUAACAGAAAUGACACAGAGAAGGUUGGUUAUAAUCUCUAAUAUAGAUGGCCUUGAUACACUAAAUUAAAAAAACACACGUGGAGUAGAUCAGGAGGCAGGGUCCACCGAGAUACUAUUUAUAGGAAAUUAACAUGAAAAAGAGUAUGUGGGCUGAAAAUCAAACAUGAGAAAACAAUGCUCUAUGUGACAGAGAACCAGAGAGUAAUAGGGGCAGCUAGACCAGUAUUUGUGGAUAGGUUGGAAAGACAGGCUUUAGUAGGUAAAGGAAUACAAUUAGAGAUCAAGUCCAGGAGAGAGAAGGUUCGGAACCACUUAGGUAAAUAGCAUGUUGCUCCCCGCCCUCCAAUUUACAACGAAGGGUCUUGGUGAGACCCAGAAAUGCACAGUGUACCCUGGGGAAGUGAAAGAGGAGGGAGAGUCUUCAAAAAGAUGACAGAAGAUAUUGUUAUAGUGUAUCAGGAUUUAAAACCCACGUUACUCGCACCACUCUGCUUAGAUAGAUUUUAUUAUUAUUUUUGAUAGAUUUUAUUCUGUCCCAGUUUAUCUACCUGCAUUAGAUUUGGGGCACAGACAGCUAUCCCCAAAACAUCAGGAUAUAGCACAGUAAUCAUCUUUAAUUUCCUGUUGUCUCAAUCUGGAGCCCUAUAUGACUUAUAUUGUUUUAUCAUGAGUGAUCUUAGUUAAAUCUGGUUUGUUUGAUAAAUGUUUGUUUGUAUGAUAUCGACAGAUUUUAUUCAAAACUGGUAUGAUUUGGUUUGUUUGAUAUGACAGAUUCAAAACUGAUUGAUAGUAUCAAGUCUGAGAAUAUAGGUAACUACAUUGAAGAUGACAAGACUCUACAAUACACAUUCUGAUUUGAUAACUGCCUGCUUUUGAAGUUUUAUCCCCUAUACAAAGUUGUGUUUUUAUUAAUACUGUUAUGUACUAAUAUGUUCAAUUAUGCUAUGUCUGAUGAUAUAGCCAAUUCUAUUGAAGAUAACAAGAGACAACACAGGAACUAUGGUAGAACUCCUUGUACAAUGGUCUUAGGUCUUUUUUGUUUCAUGUGUUUAUAGGAAUAUGUUUUGUUUUGUCUUGCUUUGUUUUGUUUCUCCCUCUAAUUUAGAAAGGGUAGGAAUACAUGUUAAGACUCAUGCAUGUGUGAAAUCUAUAAACAGUUUAUGAGAACUGAUCUUAUGACACAUGAUGAAAUGAACAGAUACUUUGAAGAGACACUAAAGUACCCAGUGCUGAUCCUGGAGUGACAUAAUUUGACACCCAGCAACAGUAUUAUUCUUUGUUCAGAGUGAUAUUAGACUGCUUGAGUUUGUUCAAUCUCAACAUAAUUGAAGAUAUGGAUAACUGCAUGUAUGUUUAAGUGUAUAGGAUUGAUAACCAUAUUUCUAAGUUUUUGUUGAAUAUUUGAACAGAACUGUUUGCAGUCUCUCUGUUUGAAGUCCCACUUUACAUGUUCCACUUUUGUAUCUGGAACAACUAUUUGUAAAAGGACAAUGUGUAAACAUCAACUAGUGAUUUCUUACUGUUUAUUUUUUGUCUGGACGUAUGUAUUAUUUCUACCCAUUUUCUGUUUUGUUUAGUCUUCUUUUAAGUAAAAUUAAAAAAAAUAAAUGUGCCUUCUUGUUUUCCUGUGGCUCCCACCUUUCUGUUCUGUGACGGGCUG
Long non-coding RNA from Cavia porcellus (domestic guinea pig), 6042 nucleotides. RefSeq lists it as uncharacterized. The record is from RefSeq and is a predicted model, not a curated record. The transcript is spliced from 3 exons. NCBI's taxonomy places the organism in Eukaryota, Metazoa, Chordata, Mammalia, Rodentia, Caviidae.